This 847-nucleotide ribosomal RNA is filed under the name Sarcopodium oblongisporum. Its description in RNAcentral is "eukaryotic LSU rRNA". It matches the Rfam family "Eukaryotic large subunit ribosomal RNA", at positions 48 to 929 of the family's 3401-position model. The record is from RNAcentral. Lineage: Eukaryota; Fungi; Ascomycota; Sordariomycetes; Hypocreales; Nectriaceae.
UAGCGGAGGAAAGAACCAACAGGGAUUGCCCUAGUAACGGCGAGUGAAGCGGCAACAGCUCAAAUUUGAAAUCUGGCCCUCGGGUCCGAGUUGUAAUUUGUAGAGGAUGCUUUUGGCGCGGUGCCUUCCGAGUUCCCUGGAACGGGACGCCAUAGAGGGUGAGAGCCCCGUCUGGUUGGACACCAAGCCUCUGUAAAGCUCCUUCGACGAGUCGAGUAGUUUGGGAAUGCUGCUCUAAAUGGGAGGUAUAUGUCUUCUAAAGCUAAAUAUUGGCCAGAGACCGAUAGCGCACAAGUAGAGUGAUCGAAAGAUGAAAAGCACUUUGAAAAGAGAGUUAAAUAGCACGUGAAAUUGUUGAAAGGGAAGCGCUUAUGACCAGACUUGGGCUUGGCUGAUCAUCCCGCGUUCUCGCGGGUGCACUCUUCCAGCUCAGGCCAGCAUCAGUUCGUCGCGGGGGAUAAAGGCGUCGGGAAUGUGGCCUCCCUCGGGAGUGUUAUAGCCCUUCGUGUAAUACCCUGCGGUGGACUGAGGACCGCGCUUCGGCAAGGAUGCUGGCGUAAUGGUCAUCAGCGACCCGUCUUGAAACACGGACCAAGGAGUCGUCUUCGUAUGCGAGUGUUCGGGUGUCAAACCCCUACGCGUAAUGAAAGUGAACGCAGGUGAGAGCUUCGGCGCAUCAUCGACCGAUCCUGAUGUUCUCGGAUGGAUUUGAGUAAGAGCAUACGGGGCCGGACCCGAAAGAAGGUGAACUAUGCCUGUAUAGGGUGAAGCCAGAGGAAACUCUGGUGGAGGCUCGCAGCGGUUCUGACGUGCAAAUCGAUCGUCAAAUAUGGGCAGGGGGCGAAAA